AUUGAACGCUGGCGGCAUGCCUUACACAUGCAAGUCGAACGGCAGCACGGGUGCUUGCACCUGGUGGCGAGUGGCGAACGGGUGAGUAAUACAUCGGAACAUGUCCUGUAGUGGGGGAUAGCCCGGCGAAAGCCGGUUUAAUACCGCAUACGAUCUACGGAUGAAAGCGGGGGACCUUCGGGCCUCGCGCUAUAGGGUUGGCCGAUGGCUGAUUAGCUAGUUGGUGGGGUAAAGGCCUACCAAGGCGACGAUCAGUAGCUGGUCUGAGAGGACGACCAGCCACACUGGGACUGAGACACGGCCCAGACUCCUACGGGAGGCAGCAGUGGGGAAUUUUGGACAAUGGGCGAAAGCCUGAUCCAGCAAUGCCGCGUGUGUGAAGAAGGCCUUCGGGUUGUAAAGCACUUUUGUCCGGAAAGAAAUCCUUGGCCCUAAUACGGUCGGGGGAUGACGGUACCGGAAGAAUAAGCACCGGCUAACUACGUG
This 486-nucleotide ribosomal RNA is filed under the name uncultured bacterium. RNAcentral's name for it is "partial 16S ribosomal RNA". It matches the Rfam family "Bacterial small subunit ribosomal RNA", at positions 30 to 507 of the family's 1533-position model. The record is from RNAcentral.